UUACGGUCAUAUCACGUUGAUACACCAGUUCCCGUAGGUUCACCGAAGUUAAGCAACGUCCAGCCUGGUCAGUAUCUAGAUGGAAGACAGCUUGGGAAUA
Molecule: non-coding RNA, 100 nt
Organism: Acanthosepion pharaonis
Lineage: Eukaryota; Metazoa; Mollusca; Cephalopoda; Sepiida; Sepiidae
Source: the annotation of a GenBank genome assembly